UUCUCUGCUUCUCGAAUCAUCUGAUCCAUCCCUGUUUCGCUUCGCGAUCCGACCAAUUCACUUCACAGCUUCUUCGAUCAGUGCCGCCCUCGAUGCAUCCGCUGGGAGUGUUUGGCAAGCCGCGUCGCAGCAGCCGGCCUACCUCUACCCUGAUCCCAUCCUGGCUUUGUGAUCUUUGAUACUGCUUGUUCUUUGUCUGAGGGCGAGCUCGGAAGAAUCUUGCCAGGAGCAAAAGAGGUAUUCGGCGAGGAGCUUCUCAUAUUGCCUUCGCCUCAGAGCUUUUGCGACUUCUGACCAAGAAAAUCCCCACAAAUGUUCGCCGUUAGAUCACGCCGGACGACUAAACAACAGCAAUCAGCAUGGCAGAAAAAUAAAGACGAGAGGAAAUAAGAACCUUGAGAGGCGAUCAGCCGGUAAACUUGGCCGAGCAGAAGCAUUUCCUUGGGCUUGAGCAACUUCACCCGGGUAAUCCGGAUCCCAACGCCGCCAUCGUGUCUCUCAUUUGGCGGGACGUCGAGGGUUACGAGGGCCACGUGGUACCCUGGGUUGCUCUUCAUGACAUUGGCAGCGGUCGUCGGCCAGUGUAGCCUCUCCACUUUCCCGCCCGGGUACUGGAUCACCACCGCUGCCGCAUCCGCUGCCUGGCAAUUCCCCAUCCUUCUGUGUUACCUUUGCCUGCAGUUGGCUAUGGUGAUUUAGUACGAUUCAGGUAUGGGAGAAGUGUGGUAGAGAAAGAGAAACAGUGAUAGGAGCAUUCAACCAACUUCGGCUACCUUGGUUCAGUUGCCUUAUUUAAUGCGAUGGGAUGAGGUAAGAAGCCUAGCUCAAAGCUCGAUAUUAUAGAAUAUAUUCUCGCACAUAUUCUGCAGUCAAUCUCUAUAUUUUUAAACAAAGAGGGAGAAUGAAUACUUCCGUCUGCCUUUGAGCUACCUUCCACGUGACAUGAUGUCAAUGGCGAGCUUAUAUGGGCUAUGGUAAAAGAGUGUGGUAGGCGUGCGUGUUAUAUACGUUGCUGGCGACUAAGGAGAAGCAUGAUAACAUCCCCUGCACGCAGGGCGUGGGAUUCUCCAUGCUAUCGGAGUGUGAAUGCCCGCGAGAGGGGGCCACGUACCAAGAGAAGGUAGUAAGCAGACUGUUGUCACUGAUGGAUAUAUUACUUUGUUGCUUCCUUCUGUUAUGGUCGCUUGGCCUUACCUGAGGAAGCCACCGCAUGGAAUGGGAUAUGGAAGGCAAAAGCUGCUCCUACCUUUCUGUGAUGGUCGCUUGCCCUUUACCUGAAGAGUCCUGAUCUCUAGCGUCAAUUAAAUUGGUUGCAUCAAGCAUCAGGUAACAGAUAGCAGUAGUUGUUGCUUCCUUGUGUUGCGGUAACGGUAGUGUUGCUUCAAGCGGUGGGUUUUCUCUUCAUUUAAUCUGACAAGGGACAGCGCUCAGCGGCAAUAACCAAAACGGUCCAAAGUGGCCACCUCUUUCUCCGCUCCAUGAUUGCCUUGUGUUGUGGCAUGAAAUCAGUGAUCACGGUCAAUGUCGCAAAGUAGGGUUUAUUAAUUAACUAAUGCUCCACUUUGAUUUAUGUAUGCAGAGAAUCUACAUGUUACUCUAGUCAUCCACGUACUCGAAAGAUAAAUGUCUCCAACAUGUUUACAUGUUUCGGAGUUGGAUGUGUUCAUCACUGGGGAAAAAAACAAGCUACUUUGGACGGAAAAAUUAUCUUUUGAUCUAUUUUUCUCUCAUACUUCACCUGCUAAAUCUUUUAUACAAAUGAAUGAGGUACUGCUGUGUUAGAAAAAGCCACAAAAUAAAAAAGGAAAAGGAUUACACAGAGGACAGAUGGUCUGUUCCAUUCAGAUGACCAUUUGAAGGUACGAUGUCUUCGAGUACUAGCUUGUAUGAUAGCUCUUCUAGGUUUCUCUUCCUUAGUCCAAUUGCCGACUAAACGUCAUUAAGAUGCCAUGUGAAGUGUUGGAGUUCUCACACUAAUUGUCCGAUCUCAUCUUAUUCAAACCUUAGCCCAGUAGGGAUCUAUCGGUGAAGAUUGAGAUAUCCUAGGCAUAUAAUCAUGGUUAUCAAAAUUUAAUUCCACGGAUUGGUGUACUUGAUACCUAUAUAGGUAUUUAUUUGAAUAGAUUUUAAGAUCAAUUUUUAAUCACAUUAGAUGUCUGACUUUUUUCA
This is a long non-coding RNA of Zingiber officinale, 2169 nucleotides long. RefSeq lists it as uncharacterized. The record is from RefSeq and is a predicted model, not a curated record. NCBI's taxonomy places the organism in Eukaryota, Viridiplantae, Streptophyta, Magnoliopsida, Zingiberales, Zingiberaceae. The transcript is spliced from 3 exons.